UACGGGGGGGGUAAGCGUUGUUCGGAAUUACUGGGCGUAAAGGGCUCGUAGGCGGCCAACUAAGUCAUACGUGAAAUCCCUCAGCUUAACUGGGGAACUGCGUGUGAUACUGGAUGGCUUGGAUUCGGGAGAGGGAUGCAGAAUUCCAGGUGUAGCGGUGAAAUGCGUAGAUAUCUGGAGGAAUACCGGUGGCGAAGGCGGCAUCCUGGACCGACAUUGACGCUGAGGAGCGAAAGCUAGGGGAGCAAACGGG
This 253-nucleotide ribosomal RNA is filed under the name uncultured bacterium. RNAcentral's name for it is "partial 16S ribosomal RNA". It matches the Rfam family "Bacterial small subunit ribosomal RNA", at positions 524 to 776 of the family's 1533-position model. The record is from RNAcentral.